RNAcentral lists this non-coding RNA (93 nucleotides) under unclassified sequences. RNAcentral describes it as "c-di-GMP sequence". It matches the Rfam family "c-di-GMP-II-GAG riboswitch aptamer". The record is from Rfam by way of RNAcentral.
UCUACAGGUAGAGGCUAAGAAGCUCGCCCCGAAAGCAACACGGGCGCCCCUAAGGGACGAGCGGAGCCAUUGGCGCGACCGGCUACCCACGAG